Capsicum annuum is the source of this 107-nucleotide non-coding RNA. NCBI's taxonomy places the organism in Eukaryota, Viridiplantae, Streptophyta, Magnoliopsida, Solanales, Solanaceae. The record is from Rfam.
UGUUGAUGAUGUGGGCAUUCCUUUAGAAAAGAUUUGAAACUCUCUCAUGCAUGAUAUAAGUUCUCAUUUGGCUUUUCCUUAAAAAUCAAAAUUUUACUACGUAGACU